CUACCUGCAAUACCUGCUUGCAAAGGAAAAAUUAGUUUUCGCCAAUGAGUCUUCUGAGUAUAUUGACCACACUUCAGGAGAGCCUUCAUGCCCAGCAGUAGAUGGCAAACAAAACAAACUCAGUACUUUUUAGACUUCAUUUCAUACUGCUUUGUUUGGGCUGUUGUUUGUUGUUGUCAUUGGGUGUGGGGAGGACCUGGGAGUAGUUGGGGGAGGGAAAAUCAUGAUCAAAAUAUAAUGUAUAAAUUUUUUUAAGAUUUAUCUUGGGGGCUGGAGAAAUGACUCAGAGGUUAAGAGCACCAACUGCUCUUCCAGAGGUCCUGAGUUCAAUUCCCAGCAACCACAUGGUGGCUUAAAACCAUCCGUUAUGAGAUCUGGUGCCCUCUGCUGGUGUGCAGAUAUACAUGGAAGCAGAAUGUUGUAUACAUAAUAAAUAAAUAAAAUCUUAAAAAAAAAAAAAAAGAUUUAUCUUUAGGGCUGGAGAGAUGCUCAGAGGUUAAGAGCACCAACUGCUCUUCCAGAGGUCCUGAGUUCAAUUCCCAGCAACCACAUGGUGGCUCACAACCAUCCGUUAUGAGAUCUGGUGCCCUCUUCUGGUGUGCAGAUAUACAUGGAAGCAGAAUGUUGUAUACAUAAUAAAUAAAAUCUUAAAAAAAAAAAAAAGAAAAGAAAAAGGGAAAAAAAAAGAAAGAUGAUCCAACACCUUCUGGCUUCUGCACUGUACACAUGUGGUAUGCAUACAACAAAAAGCAGGCAUACAUAUAUACACACAAAAAGUAGUAGUAAUAAUAAAAUUUAAGUUUUUUAGGGAUUACAGAGAUGGUUCAGUGGUUAAUAGUGUAUAUAUAUUAUACUGUUUGUUAACAGAAAACACAUGGACAACCAUGUUUUCUUCUUUCUGCCUUAUUUGAGCAUUUUCCUUCCCUUCCCUUCCUUAAUUUUUAUCUUUUGUACCUACAUUGUGUCCGAAUCUUUCCCUUAAGUUCCCUCACACACCCAUCCACAUACCUUACCAUUUGGGUUAUCUGUGAGCAUCAUUUUAUCCAAUAGGGAGAACUUAGGCCAAGAACAUUACUAUAAUUCCUGCUAACUUCUGCAUGACAAUAAUAUCUUUCUUGUGUCUAUCAGGGAAUCAGCAAGUGAUGUCCUAAGAGAAAACAGGGUCACCAGGACAAACUAAUUACUACAGGACAUGUUUCUAGGCUGUAUUUUCUCAGUUUAUUUUCUUUAUUUGGGGUUUGGGUGGGGCAUUGAAAGGAUCAAACCCAGGACCACGGCACUUCAGGCAGGGACUCCACCACUGAGCUACAUGCCCCAGCCCUACUAUAAUUAUUUUAUUAAUGUUAUGUAUAUAUGCGAAUACCACAUGUAUUUAAGUGCUCAGUUGCCUGAGGAGGCCAGAAAUGGGCAUCAGAUCCCCAAGAGGUGUAAUUACAGGCAGUUGUAAGAUGCCCGUGGGAGAUAGGACAGUCGGUAGGCACAAUUAACUGCUGAGCCAUUUCUUCAGACCUUAAUAAUUUUUAUUUUAUUUUUCGGCCAGAUGUGGUAGCACACAUCUUUAAUUCCAGCACUCCACAGGCAGAGAGGUAGGCAGAUCUCUGAGUUCAAGGGCAGCCUGAUCUGCAAAGCCAAGACCCUGUCUGAAAAAAUACAAAAAGGAAGCUAGAGAAAUGGCUCAGGGAUUAAGAGCACUUUCUGCUCUUACAGAGGACCCAAGUUCAAUUCCCAGCACCCACAAUGCACAGCUCACAGCCUCUCAUAAAUCCAGUUCCAGGAGACCGGC
This 1783-nucleotide long non-coding RNA is filed under the name Cricetulus griseus (Chinese hamster). Its description in RNAcentral is "lncRNA (ENSCGRG00015037594.1)". Lineage: Eukaryota; Metazoa; Chordata; Mammalia; Rodentia; Cricetidae. The record is from RNAcentral.